This 454-nucleotide ribosomal RNA is filed under the name uncultured bacterium. RNAcentral's name for it is "bacterial SSU rRNA". It matches the Rfam family "Bacterial small subunit ribosomal RNA", at positions 340 to 786 of the family's 1533-position model. The record is from RNAcentral.
UACGGGAGGCAGCAGUGGGGAAUAUUGCACAAUGGGCGCAAGCCUGAUGCAGCCAUGCCGCGUGUAUGAAGAAGGCCUUCGGGUUGUAAAGUACUUUCAGUCGUGAGGAAGGUGUUAAGGUUAAUAACCUUAGCAAUUGACGUUAGCGACAGAAGAAGCACCGGCUAACUCCGUGCCAGCAGCCGCGGUAAUACGGAGGGUGCGAGCGUUAAUCGGAAUUACUGGGCGUAAAGGGCACGCAGGCGGUUAAUUAAGUUGGAUGUGAAAUCCCCCGGGCUUAACCUGGGAAUGGCAUUCAAGACUGGUUAGCUAGAGUCUUGUAGAGGGGGUAGAAUUCCAUGUGUAGCGGUGAAAUGCGUAGAGAUGUGGAGGAAUACCGGUGGCGAAGGCGGCCCCUGGACAAAGACUGACGCUCAUGUGCGAAAGCGUGGGGAGCGAAACAGGAUUAGAUACC